RNAcentral lists this ribosomal RNA (1730 nucleotides) under Lelliottia amnigena. RNAcentral's name for it is "bacterial LSU rRNA". It matches the Rfam family "Bacterial large subunit ribosomal RNA", at positions 1220 to 2925 of the family's 2925-position model. The record is from RNAcentral. Lineage: Bacteria; Pseudomonadati; Pseudomonadota; Gammaproteobacteria; Enterobacterales; Enterobacteriaceae.
GUUGUUGGGUAGGGGAGCGUUCUGUAAGCCGUUGAAGGUGUGCUGUGAGGCAUGCUGGAGGUAUCAGAAGUGCGAAUGCUGACAUAAGUAACGAUAAAGCGGGUGAAAAGCCCGCUCGCCGGAAGACCAAGGGUUCCUGUCCAACGUUAAUCGGGGCAGGGUGAGUCGACCCCUAAGGCGAGGCCGAAAGGCGUAGUCGAUGGGAAACAGGUUAAUAUUCCUGUACUUGGUGUUACUGCGAAGGGGGGACGGAGAAGGCUAUGUUAGCCGGGCGACGGUUGUCCCGGUUUAAGCAUGUAGGCGGAGGUUCCAGGUAAAUCCGGUACCUUAUUAACGCUGAGGUGUGAUGACGAGGCACUACGGUGCUGAAGUAACAAAUGCCCUGCUUCCAGGAAAAGCCUCUAAGCAUCAGGUAACAUCAAAUCGUACCCCAAACCGACACAGGUGGUCAGGUAGAGAAUACCAAGGCGCUUGAGAGAACUCGGGUGAAGGAACUAGGCAAAAUGGUGCCGUAACUUCGGGAGAAGGCACGCUGGUGUGUAGGUGAAGUCCCUGCGGACGGAGCUGAAACCAGUCGAAGAUACCAGCUGGCUGCAACUGUUUAUUAAAAACACAGCACUGUGCAAACACGAAAGUGGACGUAUACGGUGUGACGCCUGCCCGGUGCCGGAAGGUUAAUUGAUGGGGUUAGCGGCAACGCGAAGCUCUUGAUCGAAGCCCCGGUAAACGGCGGCCGUAACUAUAACGGUCCUAAGGUAGCGAAAUUCCUUGUCGGGUAAGUUCCGACCUGCACGAAUGGCGUAAUGAUGGCCAGGCUGUCUCCACCCGAGACUCAGUGAAAUUGAACUCGCUGUGAAGAUGCAGUGUACCCGCGGCAAGACGGAAAGACCCCGUGAACCUUUACUAUAGCUUGACACUGAACACUGGUCCUUGAUGUGUAGGAUAGGUGGGAGGCUUUGAAGCGUGGACGCCAGUCUGCGUGGAGCCAACCUUGAAAUACCACCCUUUAAUGGCUGGUGUUCUAACGUAGACCCGUAAUCCGGGUUGCGGACAGUGUCUGGUGGGUAGUUUGACUGGGGCGGUCUCCUCCUAAAGAGUAACGGAGGAGCACGAAGGUUAGCUAAUCCUGGUCGGACAUCAGGAGGUUAGUGCAAUGGCAUAAGCUAGCUUGACUGCGAGAGUGACGGCUCGAGCAGGUGCGAAAGCAGGUCAUAGUGAUCCGGUGGUUCUGAAUGGAAGGGCCAUCGCUCAACGGAUAAAAGGUACUCCGGGGAUAACAGGCUGAUACCGCCCAAGAGUUCAUAUCGACGGCGGUGUUUGGCACCUCGAUGUCGGCUCAUCACAUCCUGGGGCUGAAGUAGGUCCCAAGGGUACGGCUGUUCGCCGUUUAAAGUGGUACGCGAGCUGGGUUUAGAACGUCGUGAGACAGUUCGGUCCCUAUCUGCCGUGGGCGCUGGAGAAUUGAGGGGGGCUGCUCCUAGUACGAGAGGACCGGAGUGGACGCAUCACUGGUGUUCGGGUUGUCAUGCCAAUGGCAUUGCCCGGUAGCUAAAUGCGGAAAAGAUAAGUGCUGAAAGCAUCUAAGCACGAAACUUGCCCCGAGAUGAGUUCUCCCUGACCCUUUAAGGGUCCUGAAGGAACGUUGAAGACUACGACGUUGAUAGGCUGGGUGUGUAAGUGCAGCGAUGUAUUGAGCUAACCAGUACUAAUGAACCGUGAGGCUUAACCUU